CUUUCCUACGGGGGGCAGCAGUGAGGAAUAUUGGUCAAUGGGCGGAAGCCUGAACCAGCCAAGUCGCGUGAGGGAAUAAGGCCCUACGGGUCGUAAACCUCUUUUGCCGGGGAGCAAGGGCCGGGACGCGUCCCGGCCCGGAGAGUACCCGGAGAAAAAGCAUCGGCUAACUCCGUGCCAGCAGCCGCGGUAAUACGGAGGAUGCGAGCGUUAUCCGGAUUUAUUGGGUUUAAAGGGGGCGUAGGAGGGAUUUUAAGUCAGCGGUAAAAAUUCGGGGCUCAACCCCGGCCGGCCGUUGAAACUGG
RNAcentral lists this ribosomal RNA (305 nucleotides) under uncultured bacterium. Its description in RNAcentral is "bacterial SSU rRNA". It matches the Rfam family "Bacterial small subunit ribosomal RNA", at positions 334 to 636 of the family's 1533-position model. The record is from RNAcentral.